AGAGCGAACGCUGGCUGCAGGCUUAACACAUGCAAGUCGAGCGCCCCGCAAGGGGAGCGGCAGACGGGAGAGUAACACGUGGGAACGUACCUUUCGGUUCGGAACAACCCAGGGAAACUUGGGCUAAUACCGGAUACGUCCGUAAGGAGAAAGAUUUAUCGCCGAAAGAUCGGCCCGCGUCUGAUUAGCUAGUUGGUGAGGUAACGGCUCACCAAGGCGACGAUCAGUAGCUGGUCUGAGAGGAUGAUCAGCCUCACUGGGACUGAGACACGGCCCAGACUCCUACGGGAGGCAGCAGUGGGGAAUAUUGGACAAUGGGCGCAAGCCUGAUCAGCCAUGCCGCGUGGGUGAUGAAGGCCCUAGGGUUGUAAAGCCCUUUCGGCGGGGAAGAUAAUGACGGUACCCGCAGAAGAAGCCCCGGCUAACUUCGUGCCAGCAGCCGC
This 443-nucleotide ribosomal RNA is filed under the name uncultured bacterium. RNAcentral's name for it is "SSU rRNA". It matches the Rfam family "Bacterial small subunit ribosomal RNA", at positions 26 to 518 of the family's 1533-position model. The record is from RNAcentral.